GGCGGCCACCGCUAUUGGAAUUCGAUUAAGACAUGCGAGUCGAGAGUCGCAAGGACUCGGCGGACCGCUCAGUAACACGCGGAUAACAUGCCCUUGGGUGGGGGAUAACCUCGGGAAACUGAGAAUAAUACCCCAUAGAUCUAGAAAGCUGGAAUGCUUUUAGAUCGAAAACUCCGGUGCCCAAGGAUUGGUCUGCGGCGUAUCAGGUUGUAGUGGGUGUAACGGACCCCCUAGCCUAUGACGCGUAAGGGCCUUGAGAGAGGGAGCCCUGAGAUGGACUCUGAGACAUGAGUCCAGGCCCUACGGGGCGCAGCAGUCGCGAAAACUUCACAAUGGGGGAAACCCCGAUGAGGGAAUUCCAAGUGCCAGCACAUUGUGUUGGCUGUUCUCUGGUCUAAAA
Molecule: ribosomal RNA, 400 nt
Filed under: uncultured archaeon
Lineage: Archaea
Description: bacterial SSU rRNA
Rfam family: Archaeal small subunit ribosomal RNA
Source: RNAcentral